CGGCGUGCCUAAUACAUGCAAGUCGAGCGAGCGGAACUAACAGAUUUACUUCGGUAAUGACGUUAGGAAAGCGAGCGGCGGAUGGGUGAGUAACACGUGGGGAACCUGCCCCACAGUCUGGGAUACCACUUGGGAACAGGUGCUAAUACCGGAUAAGAAAGCAGAUCGCAUGAUCAGCUUUUAAAAGGCGGCGUAAGCUGUCGCUAUGGGAUGGCCCCGCGGUGCAUUAGCUAGUUGGUAAGGUAAAGGCUUACCAAGGCGAUGAUGCAUAGCCGAGUUGAGAGACUGAUCGGCCACAUUGGGACUGAGACACGGCCCAAACUCCUACGGGAGGCAGCAGUAGGGAAUCUUCCACAAUGGACGCAAGUCUGAUGGAGCAACGCCGCGUGAGUGAAGAAGGUUUUCGGAUCGUAAAGCUCUGUUGUUGGUGAAGAAGGAUAGAGGUAGUAACUGGCCUUUAUUUGACGGUAAUCAACCAGAAAGUCACGGCUAACUACGUGCCAGCAGCCGCGGUAAUACGUAGGUGGCAAGCGUUGUCCGGAUUUAUUGGGCGUAAAGCGAGCGCAGGCGGAAGAAUAAGUCUGAUGUGAAAGCCCUCGGCUUAACCGAGGAACUGCAUCGGAAACUGUUUUUCUUGAGUGCAGAAGAGGAGAGUGGAACUCCAUGUGUAGCGGUGGAAUGCGUAGAUAUAUGGAAGAACACCAGUGGCGAAGGCGGCUCUCUGGUCUGCAACUGACGCUGAGGCUCGAAAGCAUGGGUAGCGAACAGGAUUAGAUACCCUGGUAGUCCAUGCCGUAAACGAUGAGUGCUAAGUGUUGGGAGGUUUCCGCCUCUCAGUGCUGCAGCUAACGCAUUAAGCACUCCGCCUGGGGAGUACGACCGCAAGGUUGAAACUCAAAGGAAUUGACGGGGGCCCGCACAAGCGGUGGAGCAUGUGGUUUAAUUCGGAGCAACGCGAAGAACCUUACCAGGUCUUGACAUCUAGUGUCAUUUGUAGAGAUACAAAGUUCCCUUCGGGGACGCUAAGACAGGUGGUGCAUGGCUGUCGUCAGCUCGUGUCGUGAGAUGUUGGGUUAAGUCCCGCAACGAGCGCAACCCUUGUUAUUAGUUGCCAGCAUUAAGUUGGGCACUCUAAUGAGACUGCCGGUGACAAACCGGAGGAAGGUGGGGAUGACGUCAAGUCAUCAUGCCCCUUAUGACCUGGGCUACACACGUGCUACAAUGGGCAGUACAACGAGAAGCGAGCCUGCGAAGGCAAGCGAAUCUCUGAAAGCUGUUCUCAGUUCGGACUGCAGUCUGCAACUCGACUGCACGAAGCUGGAAUCGCUAGUAAUCGCGGAUCAGCACGCCGCGGUGAAUACGUUCCCGGGCCUUGUACACACCGCCCGUCACACCAUGGGAGUCUGCAAUGCCCAAAGCCGGUGGCCUAACCUUCGGGAAGGAGCCGUCUAAGGCAGGGCAGAUGACUGGGGUGAAGUCAUAA
This 1483-nucleotide ribosomal RNA is filed under the name uncultured organism. RNAcentral describes it as "SSU rRNA". It matches the Rfam family "Bacterial small subunit ribosomal RNA". The record is from RNAcentral.